Molecule: ribosomal RNA, 495 nt
Filed under: uncultured bacterium
Lineage: Bacteria
Description: partial 16S ribosomal RNA
Rfam family: Bacterial small subunit ribosomal RNA
Source: RNAcentral
GACGAACGCUGGCGGCGUGCCUAAUACAUGCAAGUAGAACGCUGAAGGAGGAGCUUGCUUCUCUGGAUGAGUUGCGAACGGGUGAGUAACGCGUAGGUAACCUGCCUGGUAGCGGGGGAUAACUAUUGGAAACGAUAGCUAAUACCGCAUAAGAGUAGAUGUUGCAUGACAUUUGCUUAAAAGGUGCAAUUGCAUCACUACCAGAUGGACCUGCGUUGUAUUAGCUAGUUGGUGGGGUAACGGCUCACCAAGGCGACGAUACAUAGCCGACCUGAGAGGGUGAUCGGCCACACUGGGACUGAGACACGGCCCAGACUCCUACGGGAGGCAGCAGUAGGGAAUCUUCGGCAAUGGACGGAAGUCUGACCGAGCAACGCCGCGUGAGUGAAGAAGGUUCUCGGAUCGUAAAGCUCUGUUGUAAGAGAAGAACGAGUGUGAGAGUGGAAAGUUCACACUGUGACGGUAUCUUACCAGAAAGGGACGGCUAACUACGUG